CAGUGUGGGUUGCCUUGACAGUUUACAGUUUUUGGACAGGAGUAUUAGCAAAGUGUAAGGAAAUUGUCAAGGCCUGGAGGUACGUGUGUUUAACUUACCUACAGUUAUAUAUUUACUAAGUGAUGCAUGUCUGAAGCACCAAGGAAACUGCUUUUCCAAAAGAGUG
This 166-nucleotide long non-coding RNA is filed under the name Urocitellus parryii (Arctic ground squirrel). Its description in RNAcentral is "FAS antisense RNA 1 conserved region (ENSUPAG00010000756.1)". It matches the Rfam family "FAS antisense RNA 1 conserved region". The record is from RNAcentral. Lineage: Eukaryota; Metazoa; Chordata; Mammalia; Rodentia; Sciuridae.